UAGGGAAUAUUGGACAAUGGGGGAAACCCUGAUCCAGCCAUGCCGCGUGAGUGAUGAAGGCCUUAGGGUUGUAAAGCUCUUUCGCUAGUGAAGAUAAUGACUGUAACUAGAUAAGAAGCCCCGGCUAACUUCGUGCCAGCAGCCGCGGUAAUACGAAGGGGGCGAGCGUUGUUCGGAAUUACUGGGCGUAAAGCGCGCGUAGGCGGCUUGGCCAGUCAGAUGUGAAAGCCCAGGGCUCAACCCUGGAACU
This 250-nucleotide ribosomal RNA is filed under the name uncultured bacterium. Its description in RNAcentral is "partial 16S ribosomal RNA". It matches the Rfam family "Bacterial small subunit ribosomal RNA", at positions 355 to 622 of the family's 1533-position model. The record is from RNAcentral.